This 13633-nucleotide long non-coding RNA is filed under the name Theobroma cacao (cacao). RNAcentral describes it as "long non-coding RNA (TCAC_LNC002685)". Lineage: Eukaryota; Viridiplantae; Streptophyta; Magnoliopsida; Malvales; Malvaceae. The record is from RNAcentral.
CUUCCUUGAGCUCUCUCCUCCAGCCUUCUAAUUCUUGGAGGAAGUCCACACACAUAGUCUUGAGCUUGACGCCCAUCCGCUGAAAGUCCAGUUAGUUCCUUCACCUUCCAUCUCUCCACUAGGAACUCCAGAAUAUCAGCAUAGUCCUUGGCAGUGUAAACCCCAAUUCUUUGUGCAACAGCUGAGAAGUGGUCGAAAAGGUUGUCAUCUCGGCCAUCAUACAUCAAGUGGCCUGGCAUGGAGAUUUUCUUCCUCAUCAUGUCAGCGAAGGCCAGCAAAGUACCGUCAGGAUCAAUCUCAAAGAGCUUUUCGACAACUUUAGUAUAGGCUGUCCCGUGGCGCUUUUCAUCUGAGGCAAUGCUACCACAUAUUUGAGCCAAGUUAAUGUCCCCGUGUUUCUUAGCAAGCCUGGCUGAAUUCCCAUGGGAAAUAAAGGUUGCCCUUUCUUGGAAUGAUGUGUAGAUGAGUCCCAGAUAUGGGUUUUUCUCUGUGCCGGGAUCCUGUAAAUGGACAGAAGAAGAGAAUUUAAAAAGAUUGAUCAAGAAGGGAAAGAAAGCUCUGUUUCAACACUGGACCGACUGUAACACACGAGGAAUAACCUAAUUAGGGGCACUUUCUACACAAAUUAAUUAGUGAGAUUUAACAAGUGAUGUGGAGCAAUGCUAAUAUCCAUGCACUUUCACAAGGUGAAACUGCAGAUUAGAAAAUUAAAAGAAAUAUAAAGGCAUGUGUAGUGUGCAUGGGUUUUCUCAGCCCCUUCACACUCAAAAGAAAACACCACCAAAAGACUAAAGAAAAAAAUAACUUUAUACAUUGUGUCCUGCGGACCCCAAUAUGCAGUCCUUCAAAGAACUGCAAAGGAUUCAAAAAACUUGUGCAUGUCAAGUGCAUCUGAGUAAAGCAUCUUACCAUUCCUGAUCCAAUCAAAUACUGGAUUGUCUUCUCAAUUUGCCUCAUGUCUACUCUUCCAGACAAGUGGAGAUACUUAUUAAGUAGAUCACCAUGCCUGUUUUCUUCAGCUGUCCAUGCCCUCGUCCAAAUUGCCCAAGGGGUAAGGCUACCACCUGUUUCAUCACGAAUUUCCUCUGCGCUAUUAAGCAUUUGUUGGUAAGUUGGAAGGGCUUCCUCUGUGAUCAUAUCACCAAUCAAAACAACGAAGUAAUCGUCUGGAAUCUCCUUUGCCCUUUCCCUUAGUUCUUUGACUUGCUCACCAAAUCCAUCAGAGGUAGGAUCUGGAAGAAAAUCCUGUGGUUGCCAACAUUUCUCAACUGGUUUGAGGUAAAUUAGAAAGUUCUUCUCAGCCCAGUCCUCCAAAGAUUUAAAGAUCUCAAUCUUUUGCUGUGGCAUGGAGUGGGUGACUUGAGCGUGCACCUCCCGAGGAGGCACGAAAUGCCUUUUGAGAGUCUCGUCCUCCCUGCAUUAAGUAAACGAAUAUGGGAUUACAUUCUCACGGUUCAGAUCUGUCCGUAAGGACUAAAAGGCAACAAUAAAUACCAUAAGCACAAAUCCUAUCUAACAAAUUUGUGUUACUUAAUUCAUGUUCCAGAAUAUCCAGUACAUGGGAUAUGCAAUAACAGUGUAAUGAAACAGCUUCCUAUAUAUGUUGGCCCAAAAAAUAAAAAAUAGCUUUAUACAGUUUAAAUUCUGAAGUUUAGUUUAAAUCCAGUAGAUGGGAAAAGGCUUAGCUUGUCGUUGUGGUUGUCUGCAUCUCUGAACAUUACAUCUGUAGCUACCAACUAUUAAAAAUUCCUUCAACUAUAUUGCAAAACUAGUUGCAUGAAAUUACUUAAAAGAUGAAGGGGGAGAACUACGUUAACCAUCAGGCAGUAUGUCUAGAGAAUCUGCUCUACGUCCAUCAACUUGAAUAUUCUUUUCAAGACAUAGAUUCUAUUCAACCAUAUUGAAACAGAGUAGCAUGUAACAAAUGGGAAGACAAUAGGGCAAAGUUACAGUAAAGCGUCAGCUACCUUUAUGUACUUUGAUCAGAAAGCUGACCCGACAACAGAAAUAUCCUUUUGUGUACAGCAUUCACAGGAUUUGGAAUUAAAUUAAACAAAGUAAUAAAAACAUCACAACAUAUAUAUAGCAGCACAAUGACAGAGCUACUAGACAACGCAGCAUACCAAAAAUACAACAGAACACUAAACUGAAACAGAAUGUUGCAAACCAUGCUGACCCAGAAUUUGAUUCUGCAAAGUUGCCUUAAGCUGAGCAUUGCAAAGUCUAAGAUGACUAAUAGUUUUAUUCCCCUUUGAUUAAAUGGUUAGGUCUAGUUUCAUAUACAGGUUAGAGAUUUGAUCCAAUGUAUCAAUCAAUCUCAACCCUCCUCAGUCUGUUGAAAACACUAGCCCCUUAUGCUAGUCUACUCUGCUUGCCGUCCUGAAUACUAACUUAGUAACUCUACUUUCUGCAUUUGCUCGGUUUCUGUAAAGAGUCCACCUGGUUUGAUUAAAAAUUACUUGAACAGUGUUGUUUAGGUCUAAACAAUCUUGGUCUCAAAGGUUUUCACAAAAUGCAUAACUUCAACAUUUCAAAGAUUAUUCAAAAACUCUGCAUAACAAACCAAAUUAAUGUACAAUAAUUUAUAACAAUAGUAGAGAGCAUAAUGUAUAACUAAGUCAUUCCCCUUAUUCUUAGGUCUCCCUUUUUACCUAUUUUGGUUUAUUUUUUAAUUAAGGAAUAGCCAUGGAAUAACUAACCCCAACCCCUUUGGUAUUUUAACUAUUCCAAGCUUCAUGAAAUAAAACUCAAAUAGACAUAGUUAUGAACAAAAGAAAAAAACCAUGCUUACUAUGUGAAAUUACUAACCCUAUCGUAUAAAAUAUUAUAUUAAUAUUUUAAUAAUAAAUUAUUAAAUUAAUAUUAUUUUUAAUGAAAUUUUAAUAAAAAGGAAUUAAAAGAGAAAAAAAGAUAAAAAAUGAAAUAAGAGGAAAAUAAAAAGAAAUUAAAUAAAAAUCAUAUCAAUAUUUUAUUAAUAAAAUAUUAACAUUUUAAUAAUAAAUUACUAAAUCAAAUAUAUUUUUAACAUUGUUCUAAAAAAUUGAAAGAGAAAAAAGGAAAAUGAUAGAUAGAAAAGAAAAAGAAAUUAACAUAAAAUAUCAUAUUGAUAUUUUAACAAUAAAUUAUUAAAAAUAAAUUAAAAGAGAAAAAAAUGAAAAAUGAAAAUAGAGAAAAAUAAAAAAUUAUUAAUAUUUUAAUAAAUAAGAAAUUAAAAGUGAAAAACUGAAAAAAUCAAAAUAGAGAAAAAAUAAAUAUUAAUAUUUAAAAAGUCAAUUAUUAAUAUUUUAACAAUAACAUAUUAAAUUAUUAUUUAACAAUUACAUUGCCAAAAAUUAAUAAGUUUUAAAUAUCUUAAUAUUUUUAUUAAAUUAUAAUAAAAAAUAUUUUUAUCAUUUUAUUACUUAUUCCUUUAUUAUUUCAAAACUAUUUUUACCAUGAUUUAACAUGAAAAUAAUGAAUUUAAAAAAAGAAAAGAAAAGAAGAAGCACUUACUUGGAGGUGGAAGGAAGUCAAGUUCUCUUUGUGAAGUUGCUUUGGGUUUAGGCACCUUCACUUUUACAUGCAGAAAUCUUAUACUUAAUGUAAUACCUUUUUUGAACAAAUUUGAUGAGUAGUGUCUUCAAUGAAAAAUAAAAACAAUUUUUAAAAGAAUGUUUAGAUUAAUCAUAACUAAUGCAUAUAAUUAAAUACUAACUGUUAACUGAAUUAUUCUUUUAAAUAUAGUCAGUUUCUAGAACUUGAGAUUUCACUAUUUUUUUGUUUUACAUUUAAAAUUUAUUAAGAAUUUGUAUACACACACAAAAAAAUAGUCAUGUAUCGUACCAUAAAUUUCAUUUAUUUUUUUCUUUCAAAAUGCAAAAAUAGAAAGUUGGCUCACCUAUUUAAAACAACUUAUCAAAUUAAUAGUUCUAGUUUUGUUAGUGGUGACACAUCAAAUCCUAAGCUGUCAACUUUUAUGAAAUCAAUUUAAACACAUGCACAUGUCGUCAAGGAUUCGAGAUUUUGUAAUUAUAACAUGUGAGCAUUUAAGUUUAAAGCUAAGUAUAGGUACUUAAUCUUUUAUUCAAAAAUCAAAAAAGCUUUUAUAAUUAUAUGCUAAAAAAAUAAUUUGUUAAGUAUAAUAUUACUUCAAGAAAAAUAUUGUGAUACCUUGAGGCCCUUUUAUCAUUUGAAAAAGAUAACAGUGUUAAUUCAAUUAGAAAAAAAAAAUUAUCAUCCAUGACGUUUUAUUAAAAAUAAAAUUACUUUAAUUAGGAUGAAAAACAAUCUUUAUCUCCCUUAUUUAUAAAUCCCCUAAUUAUUUCUUUUUUUGGUGCAUUGAAUGACAUAUUGAUUUGUUUGAGUGUUGGUACAUGGCCUUGCCUAUGAGAGGCUGAGAGAGGAAGGGGGAGGGCGGACAGAGAAGAAGGGAGCAGUGGAGCACAACUGAAAUAUUCACUUGCUGCAGGGCCGUUGUUUAUAUGUAAUUCGAGGAACAAAAUUUGAAGAAUUUUUCCUGUCUGAUGCGAAUUAAAAACAAAAACUAGAGGAAAGAAUCUACCAAGAAGGGAGAAAAACUCAAGAAAAGAAAUCAAGAUCUAUGAUUUAACAAGAAAAUAACGAAUUAAAAGAAGAAGAAGAAGCACUUACUUGGAGGUGGAAGGAAGAGCAGAGGCCAUGAAAAACUUGGGAGUUGUGAAGGUGGUCAUUGCUGGAAGACCAAAACAAGGGAGGUUCUUAUACAGACAAGUCAUGGGAUUACAUCUCAGACCCAUUGUUUGUAUCUUUUGCUUAUUUUGGGGUUCAAGACUUCCUUUGCUCUUUCUCUUUGUCAAGUUGUUUUUGAGCUUCGGCACCUUCACCUUUAUAGGCAGAGAUCUAUUUCGGGGGAAUUACAAAAUGGGCAAUGAAUUGAGAAUAUUUUGAGUUUGCUCCCAUACCCCCAAAAAUAUUUAGGGAUGAGGAAUUGAAAACACACAAUCAGUGUCGAUUCACUCUACCUUCAAUUCAUCUUUUCUAUUUUUCUUUCUCUAGAUUUACGAUUUGCUGGCAUAACGUACAAUCAAAAUUAUAAUUAAUUAAACUGUAACAUAAAAUAUAAUAUAAAUAGCUUAUAUAAGAGUAAAAUUAAAGCAUGCGUUUUGUUAUAUAUAAAAAUUACAUUUUUAUAUAUAUUUGUUUUCAAAAAUAUUAUUUCUUUGUUGAAGUAAUGAUUACUCGGUGAUUAGGAUCAUAGUUAUUGAAAAGCUUUUUUGAGACUCAGAAUUUUCAUGCACAUAAAUCUUGUACAAGUCAAUGAGCAAUAUUAUUAACCUUCUCUUAUUGUAACUUGUACGGCAUACAGCCUCUUUAAUUUUCUUUCCCACAUGUAAAAUAUAUUAGGAAUUUGUAUACAUAAUGAAAUAAUCCACAAUGCAAGCUAGAAGAUGAAACCGUGACACAUGUACUACGGGAUUGCAUGGUGGCGACAUCUUCACCGGUAAGAAUUAUUCCCCAACAAGAACACAACGUGUUCUUUUCACUACCAUUAUGAGAAUGGCUGCUAUGGAAUCUCCAAAACCAUCAGCUGCUACUCUUUGAGACUCCAUGGUCGGUUGUAUUCGGCUUGAUUUGUUGGUAUUUGUGGAAGUGGCGCAACAGCGCGGUGUUUGAUGCUACCUCUAUUCCAACUGCGAAUCGCCUAAGUUUGGUUAGAAGCUUGUCAACUGCUACAAAAACAGCCCUUGUAGAAUUUGAUGGGAUUUAGGUUAAUAAAGGAAGGAAAGAAGAAGUUUUGAUUGGAUGAAGGGCUCCACAGGUUGGCUGGGUAAGUUUAAAUACUGAUGGAGAGUACAAGAAAUCAAUAGAUGAAGCUUCUACAGGGGGUAUCUCGCAACUCUGAAGGAUCUUGGCAAGCUGGCUAUGUGGCAAAGCUAGGCAAAUGUUCAGCGUAUAGAGCUGAAUUGCGGGGAGUGCUUUAUGGACUUAGACUGGCUUGGGAUUCAGGGUUCAAGAAAGUGAUGGUUCAAGUUGACAACAAGAUGGUAGUUUAGGCGAUUUCGAUGGACAAGUUACUAUCAUGUUCGAAUACGGAUUUAAUACAUGCAAUUAAAGAUAUCUUGCAAAAGGAGUGGGAGGUCCAUCUUUUAUAUAUUUACUGUAAAGGUAAUCAGGGCCGGCCCUUGGGUGAAGCCACCCAAACAAGGACUUUAGGCUCUCAAUUUGGAAAGAUCUCAAUUUUAAAGAAGAUUUAUAAUUUUAUAAUAAUUAUAAUAUAAUUAAUUAUAUUAAAAAAAUAAAAAUAAAAAAUAUUCAUCAAAUUAUUUGUUUUUUUACUUUUUUAAUUAUGUGUCUAAUAAAUCUCAAUUUUUUAUUACUUCUUUAUUUCUAAAAUACUAUUAAUUCUCAACUAUAUUCUCUUAUUUUUAACAAACUAACAGUUACAUGUAUUUAAUCAUUUCCAACAGCUAUUUUUUUCUCACUUAUUUUUCUUAUUUCCAAUCAAUAAUAUCUACUUUUAAAAUUUUCCUUUCUUAUUUGCUCUUUCUUCCUUUAACUUCAAUUUUUUUCUAAAAAAUACACAAAAAGUCUGUUCUUUUAUUCUCUUCAUAAAGUUGUGAGCUUCAUUUGUGAUUUGCAAUAAGCAUUCAACAAUUAGGUACUAUUGUUCUAAUAUUUACAGAUUUUUUUACUUUAAUUUAGAUUUAUAUUAUAUUGUUAUAUUAUUUUUAUUUUAUGUGAUAGUUGAUUUAUUUGAAUUAAAAAUUUUGAUUGUUGAUUUUAUAUUAGCCAUUUAAAAAAUAUAAGAUAAUUAUAAUAGUUAAAUAUUUUUAAAAUAAUGUUAACAAUUUCAGUAAGUGUUGUUUCAGAAGAAAGAAGUUUUUCAAAACUAAAAUUAAUGAAAUCUUAUUUAAGAUCAACAGUGUCUCAAGAAAGAUUAAAUGGAUUGACUAUAUUAUCAAUUGAAAAAGAAAUAUUAGAAGAACUUGAUUAUAAAAGUUUAAUUAAAAAUUUUACAUCUCAAAAAGCUAGAAGAAUAAAAUUUUAAUAAUUUUUUUAAUUUUAAUAAAAAAAGCCUCAUUUGAAUAUUUCGCUUUAGGCUUUUGGACUUAUUGGGCAUCCCCUGAAGGUAAUAUGAUAGCCGAUUAUAUGGCUAACUAUGGUUUUGAUUUAAUCAAGACUUAUGGCUUUUUUGAACAUCCUCCAAUUGGAGCUAAAAAAUUGUUAAUGAAUGACAUGUUGGUAGUCUAUUUUCCAAGAAUGAUUCAAGUAUAAUAAAAUGAGUUUUUUGUUUAAAAAAAAUUAUCAUCUAUCAUAUCAUAAAUUUCGUUUUAUUAUUUGUUUAAAAAAUUUAAAUUUAUAGUUAUAGUAUUGGUUCGUGGUUACACAUCAAUUCGUAAGUUUCAAAACCUCUUUAUGAAAUCAAUCUAAACAUAUACACAUGUUGUGUAGAAUUUGAGAUUUUAUAAUUAUGAUGUUUUCGAGCAUUUAAGUUUAAUGAUAAGUAUAUGUACUUAAUUUUUUGUUUAAAAAGCUAAUAUUAGAUCUCUACUUUUUUUAACAAAAAAAAUUAUAAUUAUAUGUUAAAAAUAAUUUAUUGAUUUACUUUAACUACUAAAAUAUCCUCAUUUUGUUUUUUUUUUCUUAUUUUUUCAUUUCUUUUUCUUAAUGUAAACAUCCAUGAUUAAAUUCCUUGAGGUAAAAAUAGUUGAGAAAUUUAUAUAUAUAUAUAUAUAGUUGAGUAAUUAAUAUAUAUAUACACUAACCAUCCUCAACACCACCAAAUUGAAAGAGACAAACACAAGAACACUCUAAACCUUAAUUAACAUAUGAUAUAUUCCAAUAAGUAUAAGAUUAUAAAUAGUUAAGGAAAUUUAAUAAGGGAUCCGAUUAACGGAUGCUUCUAAGUAGCUUUUAAAGUUAGUUAAAUUCUAGGAGCAUUUUAAAAAAUAACCCUUAAAGAUAAAAUGUUUUUAAAAAUAACUUUUUUAUAAUUUUAACUAUAUUUAGCCAAGUUGGACAAAAUUACCCUUAAUGAAAUUACACGUUAUGUACAAAAAUAUGUGACAAGCGAUGGUUAGGUUGUUACACGCCAUGUACAAAAACAUGUGACAAGCCAUGGUUAGGUUGUUACACGUCAUGUACAUUAACAUGUGACAAGCCAUGAUUAAGUUGUUAUACGCAAUGUACAAAAACAUGUGAUAAGCUAUGGUUAGGUUAUUAUACCCCAUGUGCAAAAACAUAUGACAAGUCAUGGUUAGGUUAUUACACGCAAUGUUGAAAAAAAAUAUUAUUGUUACACGAUAUGGUUAGGUUGUUACACGCCAUGUUGAAAAAAAAUACUAUUGUUACACGUCAUGUAUAAAAACAUGUUAUACACCAUGGUUAAAAAAGGUUAUUACACGUCAUAUUGAAAAAAUAUUGUUGUUACACGGCAUAUUCAAAAACAUUUUGUUACACUUUAAUACCUAAAAUGUUAUUGUUACUUACGAACCAAAAUUUCAAAUCCUCUCAACUCUUUUCAUUUUUUUUAUUUUUUUGACGAUUUGGAAUCGAUUAAAGUGUUUCUAACAUGUUUUCAUAAAUAAAAAUAUAAAUUUUUUAAUCUAAAAUACCUACUUUGACUAAAAAUAAAAAAAAAUUCCUUUGAAAACCUAAGUUUAUAAAUUUCAAAUUUUUGAGUUUAUUGGUAUGUUUAGGUCCUGAAUUGAUUCAAUUAAAAGAUAUUUUAUAUAUCUGUGAUUAUUUCUAUUGUUUUAGUUUUAUUCAAAAUACCUAAAAAUCAAAUUUUCCAAAUAGCCAUCCAUCCAAGCACGUUAAAACCAUUGCUUGGUGUCUUGAAAGCGUAAGAAAAAGAAAUCUGAAAACGUAAGAGAGAGAAAUCAGAAGCAUAGCAAACGAAUGCCGAAGAGAGAAAUUGAUAAAAUUCGAAAGAGUGAGAUGGUGGGAGAGAGAAAUCUGAAGUACAAAUUGAGAGAAAUUGUGAUGAAUGAUUUAAUUUAUUUGAAAAAGUUUAAAAGGUAUUUUUGUCAAGUCAUGGUUGAAUAUGGCUAAAAACAGUUAAAUUUAUUUUGAUAGUUAUUUUUAAAAUGUCUUUAUAAAAAAAGGUUAUUCCUCACAAUUUCCUCUAAAUUCAUAUUAAAAAAAAUUUUCAUUUAUUACAUUGUUCUCAUCAAAUUUAAAAACAAAUAAUACGUUAAUUACAAAAUUUUUUUAUACAUUAUUAUUUUAACAAAAAAAAAGAAACAACAUGGAAUCUCCACAUGACAGUUACAUAAAUUAGACACUUAAAUAGGGUACAUGAACCUUUUCUCUAAAAAACAAUUAAUAGCACUCGUGAAUUUCAAUGAACCAUGUACUUAAAACUCCGUCUAAUGAUAAAUUUUUUUGUUAUUUAUUUUUUUACUAUUUUCCUUGUAUUUUUUUUAUAAUAAAGAAAUAUAAAAUACUACUCUCUUUGUUUCAUUUUGUUUAUUUUUUAUUGACUUUUUUUAUUAAAUGAAUUCAAUUUUGAUUUUUUAAAACAUUAUACAAAAUUAAAAUCUCAAAAAAUAUGUUUUGAAAAGUUUGGAAUUCAAGAUUUACAAACUUUAUUUUUAAAAAUCUUAUAAUUUUAUAAAAAAUAAUUAUCAAAAUUAAAUUUAUUUAAUAAAAAUAAAUAAAUAAACAAAAUGAGACAAAAAGAGUAAUAUCUACAGGAGAAAUUAACCUUAUCUCAAUAACUUUUAAAUUAAUAUUAUUACACUUAAAUGGAAAAUAACUUUAUAAAAGACCUUUAGACGACGUGACCAUUUAAAAGAGAGAGCUCUUGAAAUAAGCCAAGUUAGUUGCGCAAAAACAAAUAAUUACACAUUGGCCCUUUAGUAUUAAGAAAAUAUGUAAUAUGCUACCUGAAUUUUAAUUUCCUCAAUUGGGUUAGUCUAAUUAAUAAUAUCGUUAACACAAUCCACCUAUAUGGCAUUGAGCCAAUAGGAUCGCACCAUGUGUAUGCCAUGCGUGAAAUAUAAAUUAUUCAUUAUAUGUUUGAAUUUCUACUGCGGAGGAUCAUAAAAUUUGAGUUUUUUUCUUUUAAAAAAAUUAUGACAUGCUUGAAGUCUUGGUUUGACCCACUUUCAUUAACUUUAGAAUAAAUUAAUUAUUUAGUCAUUUAAAUUUUUAAAUUUUUUAUUUUUCGUUAUUUAGUUUUGGAAAUAAUNUUCUUUUAAAAAAUUAUGACAUGCUUGAAGUCUUGGUUUGACCCACUUUCAUUAACUUUAGAAUAAAUUAAUUAUUUAGUCAUUUAAAUUUUUAAAUUUUUUAUUUUUCGUUAUUUAGUUUUGGAAAUAAUGUAUUGUUCAUUGAUGUUAUAUAAAAUGGUGCAUUCUUAAUCAUCCAACUUUGAAACAAGAUUGACGAAUCUCAAUUUUGUAUUCACGUCAUAAUUUUUAUGUUACAAAAUGAUAAUUUAAAGUAAUGACAUGAACUUGACCACUUCACAUAAAUAUGAUGAAAUGAAAUGUCGAACAAAAACAAAAACACGUUAAUAGUGUGUAAGAGUUUGAGGACAAAAGAUGUAGUGUUUAUAUAACAUUAAUGAUUAAAAUAAAAAUAUUUUAAAAACUUAGAUGACUAAAUUAAUAAUUUUGUUAGACUUAUUAUUUCAAUUUUAUUCUAAAUUUUGAAAUGACAAAUAAGUGAACAAAAUUAUUUUUCAAAUGUUAAAAUAAGUUCAAAAAGUCUACAACUUCUAAUAAUGAAAAGGAACGUAAUUGCAAAGGUAAAGUCAUUAUAAUCAGUUAACAGGAUGUCAUUCCAUUAGCUCACGGAGGAAAUGUUAUUUUCGCUCAAUCGAGGAAAAGUUCAAUUUUUUUCCUGAAUUAUUUCUGACUUCUUUUUCUUUCUUCUUCCUUUUUCUUUCUUCUUCUCUUACCUUUCUUUAAGUCAACGUUUGCCAGAAAAGAUGGGUGCAAGGAGGACGAUGAGAAAAAAAAAAAUAAAAGGUAACAUCUUGAGUGAUUAUAUCUUAACCAAGUUAGAAGGUAAUUUGAGUAGGUUAAAUAAAAGAUAGAGUGGUUGUAUGUGAUCCAUAAAAGGUAUUGCAUUAUAAGAUUAUGUUUGUACUAAAUUUCAUUUCAAUAGUGGAUUUUAAAAUUCGUUAGUGAAUCAAAAGGAAAGGACAAAGGUAGUAAUUUUAUUUUAUAGAAUUAUUUUAAUCUAAUUUGUUCUUAAAUGUUGCUAGGUUCUUAAUUUUUAAUUAAAAUUUAGUUAUUUUUAAUUGUUUUUACAAUUAGUUUAUUUUUAUUAAGUUAUUUUAAUUUUAUGUUUAUUUACUUUAAUUCGACUUUUAUUUAUUAGUUUUUAUGCAUUUGUAGGAUUUAAGGAAAUAAGGCUUAAUUUUGGAAAAUAAGGUGUUUGAAAGACCAAAAUUUUGUUUGCAUAUGCUUCAAUAUUUUGCCCAUAACUUUUACUACAAAAUUCCAAAUGAUACGGAUUCUUGAGCCAUUGGAAAGCUAAGAAAUAGAGCUACAACUUUCAUAUAUCACUUUGCCCAGUUCUACUUCGAAGACAGAGAAAAUUGCAUCGGAAGGUGACUGGACAUAAUGCUGCAGGAAUGGUAAUUUUGAAAAAUGAUAUUUGAUAUUUGAGCCUCACCCAAUUAAAAUCAGUAGGUUAACUUAGGAGAUUUUAAGAGAAGAAAACUCCAGAGUUAUACGCUGGCAUUGAUAUUUGAAGAUGCCAUUAGACCCAACACAGAGCUAGUUACCAACUACAAUGCUGAUUUGCUUGGAAGAUAAUAGCUUACCAAGUAAGGGUCAUGGAAUCCUUUCGACUUCUGCUGCUUUCCUAUAUCUUCACAUUUUGUGCCAUUAUUUUUAUAAUUAUAAGAUUAGAUGGGGUAGAAUAUAUUGGGGUAUGUACGAUGCAUGCAUGAAUUCCUUUAGAUAUCUGGGUAUGGGGCCGAGAUACUGUUACUGAGGGGAAGCAAUGGUCAAUUUUCUUAGAACUCUCGCCUCGCCAUUUUCAGACUUGAGAUUUGCAUUUUGCUCCCCUUGAGUCUGCUUAUAUAUCUACACUUGAUAAUUUUGGAUGAAACACAAUAACAUGAUACGAAAAGAUACAGAAUUAAAUAGAUUUGAGUUUAAUUUUAUCGUGUUUUAUGUCUUAACCGUGUCAAACAAAAUUAAUAUAUUUAAACACACUUAAUUAAUCAUAUGAAUCGUAUUUAAAAGUGUAUAAGUAACACGUUUAAUUUUAAUGAUAGAUUUUAUUAAUAUGAUGAUGAAUUUUAUGUAUGUUAUUUAUAUUAAAUUUUAUUAUAUUUAAUGUUAUUAUUAUUUUGUUAUAAUUAUUUUAAUAAUAUUGAAUUUAAAUUUGAAUAAUAAAAUUAUAUUUAAUAGUAAAUAUAUUAAGUUAAUCCCGUUAAAUGUGUUGGAAAAAAAUUAUGUUAAUCGUUUAAUCGUAUUUAUUAGUCGUAUUGUGUUGUAUAAAAAAUCUUAAUAUGUUUAAUAAAUAUGUUGAUCGUGUCAUGUCUUGUUACACGAUUAGUAAAUAUAUUUGUAUACGUGUUUUAGAUGCUAAUAUAAAUAAUUAUUCGGAUCAUGUUCAUAUUUAAUCUUACCAUAUUUCAUGUUGACGCAAUUAAGAUAUAAAAAUACGAAUUAAUGCCAAGUCUAUAAUAUAUAUAUAUAUAUGUUUUCAAAACGUUUAAUUCUACUAAUCCAUCUUUUGGCUGAGUGAACUGGACUUUCACAAACAAGUAUGUCUAUAAAAUUAGGGUUGACUGUUUCUACAAAUUAAUAUUCUAAUUCUGGUAUUAAAGUCUUGCCUACCAUGUUAGUUAUUGUGCAAUAUAAUAAUGUCUCAUAUAUUUACUAUGCAAUCUUAGCUUCACCUUUUCUAAGCACUUGAUGCAAUUCUUCCUCUUUUAGGCUUGUAUGAAGAUUCUAAAGGCGGGCAAAAUUUAGAUGCAAUAUCUUGUAUGUGAAGUUUAUCAUAAUCUCGAUCGAAAAUAAAACUAAAACCCGAAAAAUAUUUGCAAUUUUAAUAGAUUUAUUUCUUGUACGCAUCAUGAGCUAGAAAUAGUACGCAUAUAUAAUUUAUUGUAUUGUAUUUAUUAUAAAUCCCAUUCGAGUAAUGUUAAGACAUACAAAUGGAUCUAUUCUUUGUGGGUUGACCAGUUCAUUCUAUUGCUCUGUUUUUCAUUGAAUGAGAAGACACUUGCAGGGAGAGGAAAAUUCAUAGUAGUUCCUUUAUAACAUCUUAAACUUCUCUGUCAAAAAUCCAACUGAAUGGAAUCCUUGGUGCGUGCUUGGCCCUUCCUUGAGCUCUCUCCUCCAGCCUUCUAAUUCCUGGAGGAAGUCCACACACAUAGUCUUGAGCUUGACGCCCAUCCGCUGAAAGUCCAGUUAGUUCCUUCACCUUCCAACUCUCCACCAGGAACUCCAGAAUAUCAGCAUAGUCCUUGGCAGUGUAAACCCCAAUUCUUUGCGCAACAGCAGAGAAGUGGUCGAAAAGGUUGUCAUCUCGGCCAUCAUACAUCAAGUGGCCUGGCAUGGAGAUUUUCUUCCUCAUCAUGUCAGCGAAGGCCAGCAAAGUACCGUCAGGAUCAAUCUCAAAGAGCUUUUCGACAACUUUAGUAUAGGCUGUCCCGUGGCGCUUUUCAUCUGAGGCAAUGCUACCACAUAUUUGAGCCAAG